GUGGUUUGAUCAAAAGUGAAA
Caenorhabditis elegans is the source of this 21-nucleotide non-coding RNA. The record is from Ensembl. Lineage: Eukaryota; Metazoa; Nematoda; Chromadorea; Rhabditida; Rhabditidae.